UGCAGUCGAUCGCUCUUUUCGGAGAGAGAGGCGCACGGGUGAGUAACACGUGGGAAUAUACCCUUGAGUACGGAAUAACUAUUGGAAACGAUAGCUAAUACCGUAUACGCCCUACGGGGGAAAGAUUUAUCGCUCAAGGAUUAGCCCGCGUCUGAUUAGCUAGUUGGUGAGGUAAUGGCUCACCAAGGCGACGAUCAGUAGCUGGUUUGAGAGAAUGAUCAGCCACACUGGGACUGAGACACGGCCCAGACUCCUACGGGAGGCAGCAGUGGGGAAUAUUGGACAAUGGGCGCAAGCCUGAUCCAGCCAUGCCGCGUGAGUGAAGAAGGCCUUCGGGUUGUAAAGCUCUUUCAGACGUGAAGAUGAUGACGGUAACGUCAGAAGAAGCCCCGGCUAACUUCGUGCCAGCAGCCGCGGUAAUACGAAGGGGGCAAGCGUUGUUCGGAAUUACUGGGCGUAAAGCGCGCGUAGGCGGCGUCGUCAGUCAGAGGUGAAAUCCCAGGGCUCAACCUUGGAAUUGCCUUUGAUACUGCGAUGCUUGAGUUCGAGAGAGGGUGGCGGAAUACCCAGUGUAGAGGUGAAAUUCGUAGAUAUUGGGUAGAACACCAGUGGCGAAGGCGGCCACCUG
RNAcentral lists this ribosomal RNA (628 nucleotides) under uncultured bacterium. Its description in RNAcentral is "bacterial SSU rRNA". It matches the Rfam family "Bacterial small subunit ribosomal RNA", at positions 56 to 731 of the family's 1533-position model. The record is from RNAcentral.